This 279-nucleotide ribosomal RNA is filed under the name uncultured bacterium. RNAcentral's name for it is "partial 16S ribosomal RNA". It matches the Rfam family "Bacterial small subunit ribosomal RNA", at positions 506 to 784 of the family's 1533-position model. The record is from RNAcentral.
UGCCAGCAGCCGCGGUAAUACGUAGGUGGCAAGCGUUGUCCGGAUUUAUUGGGCGUAAAGAGUAUGUAGGCGGACUGUUAAGUCUGAUGUGAAAGCCCGGGGCUCAACCCCGGAAGUGCAUUGGAUACUGGCAGUCUUGAGUAUGGGAGAGGAAAGUGGAAUUCCGAGUGUAGGAGUGAAAUCCGGAGAUAUUCGGAGGAACACCAGUGGCGAAGGCGGCUUUCUGGACCAAUACUGACGCUGAGGUGCGAAAGCAUGGGGAGCGAACAGGAUUCGAUA